CGACGACACGUUCAGCGUCACCGCGACCGCCCUGGCUGUCACCACCACCUCUCCUGGUUGCGUUGGCUUCCCAACCACCUUGGGUGUCAUGGCCACCUCUCCCGGUUGUAUCGUCACCAUGACCACUGUGGGUGUCACCACCACCUCCCCGGGUUGUGUUGUCACCGCUUUGGGUGUCACGGCCACCAUCUCGGGUGUCACCACCACCUCCCUGGGUUGUGUUGUCUUCCCAACCACCACAGGUGUCACGGCCACCUCUCCUGGUUGUGUUGUCACCGCUUUGGGUGUCACGGCCACCAUCUUGGGUGUCACGGCCACCUCUCCCGCCUGUGUUGUCACCUCAACCUCCCCAGGUUGCGUUGUCACCGUCUCCGCCGGCGCGCUGUAAACCUGAACGCUGACCACUGCCAACAACACCAGGAGGAGCCGCGUGGCCAGGCUGACUUCUUCCGUUGGGGGCCCCCACAGACAUCCCCCGGAGCCGCCGUUGCUGUUGCCGCCAUAAUAACCGCUUCGCGGCUUCGAAACAAAAUGGCGGCAGCGCCUCAGAGCGGUCCUUCUAUAGCGGGAGGCGGCGGGCCCGCCCACCGCGGCUUGCUAUUGGCUGAGGGUGUAGCGAGUGGGUGGGCGCGGCGUCUUCCUAUUGGCUGAGCGCGGGGCGAGGGGGUGUAACCUUGUGUGUGGAGGGGCGGGCCUGAGCGCGGUGUGGGCGUGGCUUAUUCGGGUGAGGGGCGUGGCCUGGUGGGGGAUUUUCCACUCCUUAUAGGGGCCUCUGGGGAACAUAAGGGGGCUAUGAGGGGCUAUAGGGGCUCUAUAAGGGGCUAUGGGGAGAGAUAGGGGGGCUACAGGGGGCUUAUAAGGGGCUAUGAGGUGAUAUGGGGGCUGUAGAGGCUCUAUAAGGGGCUAUGGGGAGAUAUAGGGGGCUAUAGGGCCUCUAUAUGGGGCUAUGGGGACAUACAGGGAGCUAUGGGGAGAUGUAGGGGACUAUAGGGGGUCUAUAAGGGGUCUAUAGGAGCUCUAUGGGGAAUCUAUAGGAUUCGAUAAGGGGUCUUUUCCAGCCUAUAGGGGGACCUCCAGGGUUCUAUGAGGGGUCUGUAGGGGUUGUUUAGGGUCCAUGGGGGUCUAUAGGGUUCUAUGAGGGGUCUGUAGGGGACAUAUAGGGGUCCAUGGGGGUCUAUAGGGUUCUAUGAGGGGUCUGUAGGGGUUGUUUAGGGGUCCAUGGGGGUCUAUGGGGUUCUACGAGGGGUCUGUAGGGGUUGUUUAGGGGUCCAUGGGGGUCUAUGGGGUUCUACAAGGGGUCUGUAGGGGUUGUUUAGGGGUCCAUGAUG
Molecule: long non-coding RNA, 1328 nt
Filed under: Meleagris gallopavo (turkey)
Lineage: Eukaryota; Metazoa; Chordata; Aves; Galliformes; Phasianidae
Description: lncRNA (ENSMGAG00000019823.1)
Source: RNAcentral